Molecule: ribosomal RNA, 406 nt
Filed under: uncultured bacterium
Lineage: Bacteria
Description: partial 16S ribosomal RNA
Rfam family: Bacterial small subunit ribosomal RNA
Source: RNAcentral
AUUGAACGCUGGCGGCAGGCCUAACACAUGCAAGUCGAACGAGUGGCGGAAGGGUGAGUAAUGUCUGGGAAACUGCCCGAUGGCGGGGGAUAACUACUGGAAACGGUAGCUAAUACCGCAUACCAUCGGAUGUGCCCACAUGGGAUUAGCUAGGGGGUGGGGUAACGGCUCACCUAGGCGACGAGCCCUAGCUGGUUUGAGAGGAUGACCAGCCACACUGGAAAUGAGCCACGGUCCAGACUCCUACGGGAGGCAGCAGUGGUGAAUGUUGCACAAUGGGCGCAAGCCUGAUACAGCCAUGCCGCGUGUAUGAAGAAGGCCUUCGGGUUGUAAAGUACUUUCGGCGAGGAGGCGUUAUUCGCAGAAGAAGCACCGGCUAACUCCGUGCCAGCAGCCGCGGUAAUUC